Molecule: ribosomal RNA, 203 nt
Filed under: uncultured bacterium
Lineage: Bacteria
Description: partial 16S ribosomal RNA
Rfam family: Bacterial small subunit ribosomal RNA
Source: RNAcentral
UACGUAGGUGGCAAGCGUUGUCCGGAAUUAUUGGGCGUAAAGCGCGCGCAGGCGGUCUUUUAAGUCUGAUGUGAAAGCCCACGGCUCAACCGUGGAGGGUCAUUGGAAACUGGGGGACUUGAGUGCAGAAGAGGAAAGUGGAAUUCCAAGUGUAGCGGGUGAAAUGCGUAGAGAUUUGGAGGAACACCAGUGGCGAAGGCGAC